This 17400-nucleotide long non-coding RNA is filed under the name Jatropha curcas. RNAcentral describes it as "long non-coding RNA (JCUR_LNC000581)". The record is from RNAcentral. Lineage: Eukaryota; Viridiplantae; Streptophyta; Magnoliopsida; Malpighiales; Euphorbiaceae.
AGAAAAUUUCCUAGACUACGUGAAAUUAGGAUAAGAAAUUGUCCUAAAUGGGUUGUGACAUUGCCUACCUCCCUUCAUUCCCUUGAGGAAUUGUACAUUGAUGGAUGUCAAGAUAUUAUUCUCGAAAGUGUGCAUGAUCUAUGUUCCCUCCAAACCUUGCACAUUUCGAGUAUUUCAGCACUUGAAAACUUACAUCAAGUGGUUACGCAGUCCUUGGUGGCGCUAGAAUAUCUGUCCAUUGGUAAUUGCAGCCAAUUGAUACACCUGUGGCAGGGUUCAGCUAAUUUAGACAAACUUUCUAGCUUGAAAUCUUUAUGGAUCCAUGAGUGUGAGAAGCUAGUGUCGUUGGUAGGAGGAGAGGAAGGGAAUUUGCCAUGCAAUCUUGAAUAUUUGGGGAUAUGGGAAUGCGAUGGAUUUGAGAUUCUGCCAAAUGGGUUGCAAACCCUCACAUCUCUUAGAGAGCUGGAUAUCAAUCGGUGCCGAAACCUUGUGUCCUUCCCAUCUGCAGGUUUACCUUGUAGUCUUAAAAGUCUCGAAAUCGAAUAUUGUCCUUCUCUGGAGUCCUUGCCGAAGGGCAUUGUGCAUGAUAGUAACGCCAGGAAUGAGAUGUCUCAUCUUGAGGUUGUGCGUGUCAAAAAAUGUCCAUCUCUUACAUCGCUUCCAAUCGGUGAAUUUCCCUAUUCAAUUUAACAAAUUGAUAUUUGCUUUUGGACGACACAACUUUUGGAUUCAUUUCGUAAUAGGUUCUCGCAUCUCACCACAUUAACAAUAUAUGGCUCUGAGUUGGAGUGUUUCCCAGAAAGUGGAUUGGCCAUCCCCAACCUUAGCCUUUUAAUCAUAGAACACUGUGAAAAUUUGAGGUUGCUUCCCAAUCAAAUGCAAAAUCUUACAUCUCUUAAUUAUUUAGAGAUAAAUAAUUGUGGAGGUCUUGUGUCCUUUCCAGAUGAGGUUUUACCCCCAAACCUUACUUCUUUAUACAUACGGAGUUGUGAGAAUUUGAGAUUUCUUCCCACUCAAAUGCAAAAUCUCACAUCUCUUCAAAGUUUAGAAAUAGUUGACUGUUUAGGUCUGGUGUCCUUUCCAGAUGGCGGUUUACCCCCAAAACUAGGUCGUCUUCAAAUUUUAAAUUGCAAGAAUCUGAAACAGCCAAUGUCAGAGUGGAGACUCAAAAGACUCGCCUCUCUCACCCGUCUCACAAUCGCAGGGCCAUGUCCAAAUACAGAUAUGGAUUCCUUCCCAGAUGAGAAGGGCCUACUGCUUCCCUCUUCCCUAACCUUUCUUGGGAUCGAAGAUUUUAAAAAUCUGAAAUCAAUAUCCAGAGGCAUUCACCAUCUCACCUCUCUUGAUGCAUUAGGAAUUCGAAAUUGCCCUAAGCUCCAGUCCUUUCCCAAGGAGGGCCUUCCGACCACACUUGAAAUAUUGAUUAUCGACAGGUGUCCCCUUCUGGAAAGACGAUGCAGAAAAGGGAAAGGAGACUAUUGGCGCUUUAUUGCCAAUAUCCCCCGUUUCACAACUGAAUAGAGAAUAGAGAAUGAAGGGAGUCCUCACAUACAACGAGGUAUUCAUCUUUUUACUUUUGCUUGCAGCUAAAACUAUAACUGAUAUAUGCAAUAUUUUUAAGCCAAAAUAGAAUAGAUAUAAAAAAAUGAAUUGCAUUCAAUUAUGUGGUGUUUCAAGUUUCAACCAUAUUACCCCAUUCUGUUCUGACUCUGAUAUGAGCUGAUUUUAUACAUAUCAAAUCUUGGCUGCAAAUAAUGCAAUUGUUUCUUCAGGUCUGCAAAAGCCUGGACUGCUUAGCCCAGGACUCGAGAUUGUCAUAAUCGUCUCAAAUCCAAUCCCUGCUGGUAAGGGUAAUUGUCAUAAUUUUAUAAAGACUGCUAUUAGUUAAGCUUGCAAAGUUUGGAUGUUUUAUUGAUGUUUUAUUUUCAGAUGUUUUAUUUUCACUUAGCAUUUCUAAUCCUAGGAGGGGUGUAUGGGGGAGGCCUGUUGGUCGGGUUUAGAUGGAUUAGUUAUGUUAAGUUUUUCCUGGAUGAUGUUUGUAAUAAUAAAUUUAAUUUUCAAAAAAAAAAAAAAAAAAAAAAAAAAAAAAAAAGAGAGUACAAUCCUGUUUCUGCUACAUAUGACUACAAUGAGCAGUUGUUACCAAUUUAUCAGACAAGAAUUCUGUUUCCUAUGUUGAGAUACUUAUAUGAGCAUAUUUGUUUAUUUAUUGACAGAUUUAAGGCUCUGGAAGUAUUAUUUAAAGUGAAGAAGUUUUACAGACAUUGGUUGAGAAUUUUUCAGAUGGAAAUUAUCUUUUUUUUUUUUUAUUUUUUUAUUUUUAUAAAUGGAAUAGGGUCCGUUCUUCCUACAAAACAUCCGGUCAAGAGUCAGGUGAUCUCGAACUACUUGCUAUUCAUGCAAACGACAGGUCGUCUGCACCAAGAUGCAAAUGACUUGCAUUUGCGAGUGAAUUUGAGUUUUUAUAAGUAACUAUACUGGCAAUGUGGCUUUAUGGAGCAAAAUCUGAUUCUGAAUGAAAAAAAUUACAUCAAAAGAAUCUAUAUGCUUCAAAAUCUAAUAAUAAUUUAUUUUCUUUUCUUUUGCUUUGUGGAGGGAAAUUUGAACCAUGAUUUAUAGUCAGGUUGUAUAUCCAUUUACCAUCACUCUAUUACGGCUUAUUGCGCAUAAAUUCAAUAAAAUUAAGCCUAAUAAUUUGUCUAUUGUUUAUAACAAAUUAACACAAUAAAAUUCUAAUAAAUAUAAUAAAAUUGAGGUACAUAGAUUAUGAAAUUUUUGGAAGAGGUUUGCCAAGAAGAAAGUGGUGAAUAAGUGAGAGUGCUCUUGCAGGCUGGAAGGCAGGCACUUCAUGUCCAGCCCCUCUCACAGUAGCAAAAGUAAGGUCUCCUUUAUAAAUCUCAGUAUACCCACCAACCUGAAACACAAUCAUUCAUCCACAAAACAUUUAUUUCAAUUUCUUUAUUACAAUUUACAAUUUAUAAAUUAUAUAAUUAAUUAAAUUUUAAUAAAUAAUUAAUUUACCUCCCCAUUAAGGUACCAAGGGUACCAUUCAGUUUUAAUAGGAAGCUUCAACUUUGCGAGUGAGUAUUGAGUAGAAGUAACAGGUACUCUUCCAUCCGUAUCACCACUGCAUGGUAAAAUGUUAAAAUGGUAAAAUGUUUUUAAAAUAACAGUUAUUCAUCAGCUUGUUGAGCGUUUCUUUUUGGUAUCCUAAAUUUAUUUUUAUUUAGGAUAAUUACAUUAAAUACUGCAUUCCUGACUGUUAGUGCUUAGCUCUUCAAUUGUUGAUUGAUUAUAACAAUCUAAGGUCUAUUCGACAAGAUUAGUUAUUUUAGUUUUUCAAAAAAUGCUAAAAGCUAGACGUUCAGUGAGUUAAAUUUUUAUAAAACGCUACUUUAACAUGUAAAAAUUAAUUCAAACGUUAUGUUACCGAAUUCUAAAAAAAUAAUAGCAUUUAGCAUUUUAAUUGAUCAAAACACUAAAAUCUAUUUUAAAAAUUGUUGCCUAAAAGUUUUAAGAUAUAAUCUAUGUUUCAUGGAAAUUAAAACGAAAUAGCGUAGAAACACAGAAACAAAGAAAUGCGAAAAGCUUAUAAUUUGGAGUUUUCAUACUUCAUAAAAUAUAAUAUUAUCUAAUAAAAAAAUGUUUUAAUUAGGUGAUAUAAUAUAUAUAUAUAUUUUUUUUUUCUUAUGAGACUGACCUAUAAACCAAGAUUCUUACUCCAUUUUCCAUGAACUCCUUGAGCAAGGGAAGAAUUGUUGAAGGGCUAUCUGUCCACCUAUCAAUAAUAUCACUACAUGGUUCCCAAUCAUGAUCAAGCUUAGUGACAUUGGCAUGCAAAGCUUCUUGCACAUCAGCCCUAUUGAAAUAAGCAUGCACAUAAUAGUCACUGCAUGGAUCAAAAUUAUCCAGCUGCAAAAUAAAACAAACCAAUUUUAGUUAUAUAUUUAUAAAAUCACCUUUCUGCAUCUAUAAAAAAAUUGUGUUAAUCAACUUACUGAAGCCUUCUUGGGGUGAGCUGUGAUAUUCUCAUCAAAGCACAAAGGAGCAUAAAUGUUAUAAAUGUCAACAGCUUGAGAAUAUUUGUCAGCCUUCUCAGUAGCUGCUCUGCACUCUUUGGAUGGAUGGUUGAUAUACUUAGGUGAGAAAUUACAGUGUUUUUUUAUUUUUUGCAGUGUUUUUGGUGAAGAUAAAACAUGGGUUGUAAAGAAAGUAUACAUUCCUAGAGUAUCUGUUUCAUCAUUUAUCACUGCAUUUCCAAUCUGCAUUUUCACAGAUAUAAACAUACGGUUAGCUUCAAUUUCAAUAAUUUAUAUGCACGGAAACUUCUAGCCAUGAAUGUUUUAUGUUUCGGAAACGUUUCCACUUUUCUAGUAUAAAAUACCGUUUUUCCAAGUAAAAUUAUGUUUUAUAUGUUAGAAAGGCACAUACUGCAAUUCCUUUGAGGUUGAUAAUGGUUUUGUUGGCCUUCUUGUUGUAGUAAAGGAUGGUAUGUGCAAGCUGAGGAACAUAAUGGCCUGCAUAGCUUUCUCCAGAAAUGUAGAAAUCUCUUCCUUUAUAUUCUGGAAAUCUUUGAAGCCAAUUUACCAAAAUCAAAUAAUUUUCUGUUGCUGUAUAUCUAUCGCCAGAAUUCUCAUAAUCUGAUGUCCUGUUUGAGUAUGAAAAGCCUACUCCAACAGGAGACUCCAGAAACGGAACAUUUGCAACUGAAAAAAAAAAAAAGAAAAAUUAAAAANNNNNNNNNNNNNNNNNNNNNNNNNNNNNNNNNNNNNNNNNNNNNNNNNNNNNNNNNNNNNNNNNNNNNNNNNNNNNNNNNNNNNNNNNNNNNNNNNNNNNUUCAUUAUUUUUUAUAAAUAUUAUUAUUAUUACAAACAGAUAGUCCAGUUCUUUAAGUUAUUUCAAAAGUAAAAUAAUUAAGGAAUUACCAUUAUUCCAUGAAAAUCUGUUCUUGUUCUUGUAAAGUGUUUUGCCAUCACUGUAUACUCGAAAUGGUCCAAGCUCUUGCAUCAACCCAUAAGCCAAAGAUGAACAACCAGGCCCUGUAAAAAUAUUAAUCAGCAACAGACAGUAAUAUUAUACAUUUAAAUUGAAAAUUUAACAUAAUAAUAAUAACAAUAAAAAGAAUACUAUUUUCAGGAAAUAAAUAAAUUUAGAACACAAAAGGGAGAAAAAGGGAAAAAGAAUAUAUUAAAUACCUCCAUUUAGCCACAGAAGAAGAGGCAAAGAGUUCUUAGAACUUUCUUGAGCUUCGGCAAAAUAAUAAUAUAAGGCUUUUCCAGCUAACUUAUCCACAGUAACAUAACCUCCAUAUUGUGAAAACUUAACUUGAGGUUGGCCAGGCAAUCUUUUGAUCCUAUCUUUUUCUUUAUCUUUUCCAUUUUCUUGAUUUAUAGUAAUAAUAGAAUCAAUUGUCCUAAAAUUGCUUGUGUCCAUACCAGAAUUCCCAUUAAGCUUGGAUUUGUAAAGAUUCCCAAGAACUUCACUUUGCCUCUUGCUAUGGCUCUGAGAUGUUAAAUAAGAAAAAAUGAAAAAGAAAAGGAAUAUCAAACAUGGGUUUUUCCCCAUUGCAGGAAAAGGUUUUACGGUUUUUAAUUUUUUGGAUUUUUGUUUCUUGAAUCCAAAUUAUGUGUUUAUAUAAGUAUAGGGAUGUGUGUGUGUGCGCGCAAUGGAGAGAGAGUAUCUAUAGAAGGAUUUUGUUUUCUGAUUUCCUAAUUUAGAUCAAUAUUAGUUAUUAUUCCCUCCAUCUUAUAAAAUUAUGCUUGUUUCUAUUUUCUCACAAACUAAUUAAAUGUAAUUAAUAUUUUUGAAUAAUAAAUUUGACCUAUAUUUCUCUUGAUAUACCCCCUAUUGUAAUAUUAGAUAUCAUUUUCUUGAUAUACUCCCAGGUAGUAGAGGGUAAAAGUUUUUAAUUCUCCUCACAAAUUGAGUUUUCAGAGAAUCGAACUUGUAUUAUCGCCUUAUGAAGAUUGAGAUUAUUUACCGAUCCAAUCAACACCUUAAUUAUUGCUAAUUUUAGAAAUCACUUUAAAUAAAAAAUUAAGUGAGAAAAAUUUUAAUAAGAGAAAUAUUAAAUAAGAGUAUAUAGAGAAAACCUAUUUUCCAGAAUGAGUCAUUGUCAAAAUAUACAGCUUUAUUUUCCAUAUAAGACAUUGGACUUUUUAUUUUGCCUCGCUAUGGCUUUGCAUAUCUCGAACCCAUGACCUUCAGGUCACUGAGUCAUUCUUGCAUAUAGGGGUGGCCACGGUUCCGGAACCGGCAGUUCCGGUUCCGGAAAAACUGGAAUCGGAACCGAACCGAAAAGGUCCGGUUCUGGUUCCGGUUCCGGUUUGGAACCGUCCGGUUCCGAUUCCGAUUCGGUGACAAAACCGACGGUUCCGAUCAGUUUUCCGGCGAAUCGCAUAAUUUUAAAUUUUAAAUUUUGAAGACCGGUUUAAAAAAAUAUAUAUUUGAACAUAAAAAAUUAAAAAAUACACCUAAAAAAUUAAAAAAUACUUCAAUUAAAUUUAUUUUUUUAAAGACUUGAACAUAAUUAUUUUUUUAAAAAAAANNNNNNNNNNNNNNNNNNNNNNNNNNNNNNNNNNNNNNNNNNNNNNNNNNNNNNNNNNNNNNNNNNNAAAAAAAAAAGACUUGAACUUAAUUUUUUUUUUAAAAAAAAAUUAAGUUGCCUACGUAUCCUCUUGGGGUUUAGAGGAAUCAAAGCCUACGUAGUUCUUACUUACCUUAUACCAAUUUCACCUCUUAUACCUUAAUUACUAUUUGCACCACCGGUUGAUGUUCCCAUUGAGGACCCAUCGUAUAAAUCAUAUAAAUCUUCAUUUUCUUUUGGAUUUUCUUGGGCUCUUAGUUCGGCCUUGCUCCAAUCAUCCACGCAUGAUUGUGCUUCUAAUGAAUCGGGUGUCAUACGAGAUCGUGUUUCAUCAAGUAUGUUUCCUCCUUGACUAAAAGCUUGUUCAACCGCAACAGUGGAGACCGGAGCUGCUAAAAUUUGUUUUGCAAGUAAAGAAAGAAUUGGAAAAGUAUUUGCGUGAUGACUCCACCAAUCUAAAAUUGGAAAAUCAGUAUCUGCAUAAUCAUCACCAAACUCAAAACAAGUGAUUAGAUAAUUUUCAAAUUCAGAAAAAGAACUGGAUUCCCUUGUUCUUUUUUGUCUUUGUAGUAAAACUUGUUGAGCAACACCAACACCACUUACCCUUUGUGUUGGAAAUUGUUGAAUAUUAGAUUGAGAAGAAGUAGAAGUAGAUGAACUAGAAACUUGAACAAAUUCAUUAUAUAAUUGCAUAAAAAUUUUUUUAACUUCAUUCAUUACUACAUUUAUAUUAACAUUAUUUUCUACAUCAAGAUUUAAUACUUCAUAAUAAAUAGUUAAAUAAUCACAUAAAACAUCAAGUUUACAUGUAGGAUCAAAUACAAUAACAACAAGAUAAAGGGUGGUAUAUUUUUAAAAUAAGAUAACCNNNNNNNNNNNNNNNNNNNNNNNNNNNNNNNNNNNNNNNNNNNNNNNNNNNNNNNNNNNNNNNNNNNNNNNNNNNNNNNNNNNNNNNNNNNNNNNNNNNNNNNNNNNNNNNNNNNNNNNNNNNNNNNNNNNNNNNNNNNNNNNNNNNNNNNNNNNNNNNNNNNNNNNNNNNNNNNNNNNNNNNNNNNNNNNNNNNNNNNNNNNNNNNNNNNNNNNNNNNNNNNNNNNNNNNNNNNNNNNNNNNNNNNNNNNNNNNNNNNNNNNNNNNNNNNNNNNNNNNNNNNNNNNNNNNNNNNNNNNNNNNNNNNNNNNNNNNNNNNNNNNNNNNNNNNNNNNNNNNNNNNNNNNNNNNNNNNNNNNNNNNNNNNNNNNNNNNNNNNNNNNNNNNNNNNNNNNNNNNNNNNNNNNNNNNNNNNNNNNNNNNNNNNNNNNNNNNNNNNNNNNNNNNNNNNNAAAUAUCACAACAAAUUGAAACACGAAUUUUCAUUUGAGAAAAUAAAAGCUCUAACUCUUUUUUUCCUUUAUUAUAUAAAGAAAUAAUAGUUCGUUUUACAGUAUUUCUUGGUACUCUUUUAGCAGAAGGAUUUAAAGCUUUUUGACAAUAAUUAUUAAAACCUACUUUUUCACCAAAACUAAAAGAUAAAUGUUCCAUAGAAAUCAUUUUUGCUAAUUCUUCUUUUUGUAUUUUUUCAGAAUAUUGAAAUAAAGAAAGGUUAGAAGGUGCGUACCCGGAAAUUUGUGUUUGAGACCGAUCAACUCCUAUUUUUGUUGGAUGUUUUGCCUCCAAAUGCUUCCAAAAUGAUCCAUAGCCACCCGCUUGUUUAAAUUUAUAAGAUUUUGCACAAUAAUUGCAAAUUACAUCGUACAUUUUCUCACCUUUGAAUUUUUUCGUGAAAUGAAUGGCGAAUAUGUCGGAAUUUUGCCUUGCUCUUCCAACAAUUUGUGCUCGUUGCUCUUGCUCUUGCUCUUCCUCUUCUUGUAAUUGCUCAUUAAAUUCGGAUUCUUGAGUUGGAAUUUCCAAAUUUUCAUUUGGAUAUCCCUUAAAAUUAAAUUGGUUGGGAGUGAAAUCAUAGAUGUCGUUUGUAGGGAUAGAUAAAUAUCGUGUUUCUCCAAUCUUUCCUUGCCCUUACCCGAAUUUGAGUUUCCUCCACUUGCCAUUAUAUGAUAAUAAGAUAUAAUUUGAAAAUUUUAAUAAAAAAAAUUAGAGAGAAUAAUAACUUAAUAAGAGAGAUUGUAGAGUAGAGAAGAAUAAUAUAGAGUAGAGCGUAGUAGAGUGUAGUAUAUUAUAGAGAGAGUAAGUAGAGAGAGUUGAGAUUUUUUUGUUAUAAAUUUGUAAAUAAAAUGAGGUAUUUAUAAUAAAUUCAAAAAAUUAUUUUUUCAAAAAUACCCUUGAAACUAGCCGUUAUGUAGCCGUUUAUGGCUGUUGGGGGUAAUUAAGAGAUUUCACAACAAAAUUAAAAAAAAAAAAAACUGGUCUGACAGUUUAUAACGGCUAACUCUGCUGUUUGUGGAAGUUGUGGAACAUAAUGCCCUGCAUAGCUCUCUGCAGAAAUGUAGAAAGCUCUAUCUUUGUAUUCAGGAAAUCUCUUCAGCCAAUUUACCAAGAAUAUAUAAUUAUCCUCUGCUGUUUUUUUUGUCUCCAUUGUUAUCAUAAUCCGAUGUCCUAUUAGAGUAUAUUAUGUUGGUGUAUGUGCAAUUAUUGCAUGGAAUAAUAGUUGGUGUAUGUGCAAUAAUUAUCUUUUUUUUUUUUUUUUUUUUUUUUUUUUUUUUUUUAUGAAAACUGCCAGAAAUAAUGAUUAUUAACCGUUUAAAUUUUAAAAACUACUUACCAAUAAUUAUCUACCGUACGUUCGAACACCAAACCAAUAAUUGAUUUCCUAAAUUUAUAUUCACUUACAGCUUAAUUUUUCCAUAUGAGGCACUUGACUCGUUUGGCCAAUGCAUUUACCCCUCUAUUUUAUUUUUUUUUCAAUCAAUAUUAUUUUUAAGAAUCCAAAUCACUUAUUAAUAUUUAGGCUUCGGUUGUUCCUGUAAAAUAACUUUCAAGAAAAUAUUUUUCACAAUUUCCCAUUAUUAGGGCAUUCAGAAAAAUAAAUCAACGGAAAAUAUUUUAAUCAUUUUUAAGGAAAAUGACUUUCCAAUUUCAAGAGAGGAAAAUAAAUUUAUAUAUUCAUAUUUUUUAAUUUAUUAGUCAUUUAUAGCCACUGCCACCCGUCACCGUGUACCACCAACUAUCAUUGCCGGCUACCCUCGGCCACUACCAUCGGCUUUCAUAAUCUACCAUUUUUUACAUUUUCAUCAUAUUUAACAAAAAAAUUUUUAAAAUACGAAAUUUUUAUUGUUGUUAAUAUUUUUAUGAUCUUAUGAGUUAAAGAUUCUAAUAUUUUUAAUUAUUGAAAUUAAAUAAGAAAAAUAAGUCGUUUGAAAAAUAUUAUUUAAUCCAAAGAUAAUUUCCAAAAACAAACGCAUGUAAUUCAAUAUCAAGGAAGAAUAUAAGAAAAGCAAGUGAAAGUUCAUGGUUUUGUCAUUAAGACCCUUUUAAGUGAUUUUUACUCAUUUGCCUUUUCCCAGAGACAAAUAUUAUGUUAUGGAAACUUUAUUUUCCUCUUUAUAUGGUGUUUUUCACUUCAUUACAGCAAUCAUCAAUAAGAUAACGUUUAACAAUUUUGGGAAUAAUAUGGUUAACUAUAGUUACCUAUAUAUAUAUAUUUAUAUUGCUUUUAUAAUCUCUUGAAAAAGGCACCCAUUAAAAUAAUUAAGUGUAUUAUUGACAACUCACUCGAAUAACUCAACAAAAAGACUUUUGGAUUUGGCAGCAAUUAUUUUAGUUUAUUUUUGUAAGUAAUUUUCAGCUUUCUUCUUCGUGCUAUGUGAUUUCUUGCGACUAGAUUAAAGAAUUUGAGCUUGGAUGGUAGUUGUGAUGGAGUUAGGGAUCUUAAAUACUGUUUAUGCGAGAUUAUUCAAAUAAAUUCCCAAAAUUUAUGAUGCCAUUGAUAUUAUAAAUUGAAUUUUUAUGAAGUAUAGUAUAAGAAUGUAACAGUUGAAGAUAUUGACUUGAGAUUGAGCAUGAAUUUCUGUUUGUGAAGAGCCUUGGGAUUCAAAAACACUGUGCUGAAAAUAAUUCGGGAAUUUUGAUAUUAAUCUCUAAUUGAAAUAUAAACUGAGAUUUAAUGUAAAAAUUGUUAGUUUAUAUGAAUUAAUAACCCCUGAGAUGGCAGUAGUUAUAUGAUGUUGUGAGUGAAUUUUGUGAUGGGGAAUGAAUUAAUUAUAUAUGGCGUAUGAGUUUGGUGAAGAAAAACGAUGAUUUCUUGAAAUUAGAGGUAGCUAAGUGAGUAUUUCCCUGAUUAUGGAUUGUAGCAAGUCAAGAUAUUUGGUGCUUUAGUUAGUUUCACAUUGGUUACAAGAUAUUGGAAGUAUUUUCGUUUGGAAUAAGAUUUAAUCAUAAUAUUCUCAUUCUUUGUGACUGAAAGGAAAAAGGAAGACAUAAAAAUAGUUGAAUGUGAAUUGGAACUUGAAAUUUUCAUUUUUAUUUUUAGAAUAGUAGCUUGGUGCAUUUUUAUUUGUUAUUUAUUUAGUUAGAAAAGAGAAUGAAUGUCAUACUUUUAUUAUCAGUACAAUAUGAUGGGAAUAGAAAUGUCUGUUUUUGUUAACUAGGCUAGUUAAAGCUAAUUGUGUAAAUAUGCAUAUAUAUAUAUAUAUAUAUAUAUAUAUAUAUAACGAUUAAUAAAUGAUUUUAUUUAGAAUAUAAAUUAAAUUUUAUAAAGAAGUUGUGAUGGUUGGAUGACGAUGUUGGUAUUAAGAGGAGGUUGGGUAUUUGAUUUGAUUGAAUACCCGAUGGAUGGACUGUGUAUUGAUUGAAAAUAUUUGACGUUAUUAUGAUAUUUAAUCAGGUGGAAACUCCUAUUUUUAGAGGAGGUUUUGCUGAAAUUUCGACAAAAUCUUGAAUAAAUCAUACUUAAUAAAUAGGUUAUUAGAUUUAUUUAGAAUGAUUUCUUAUUCUUAUUAGGAGGAAUUCUUUAUUUAAUUCUUCUCCCCUAUCAAUUCUACUUCAUAUAGAUUAUUCAAGAUUGUCUUAUGCUUUUAAAAAAAAAAAAAAAAAGAACUAUAAUUAGAGUAUUCCCUUUCUUAUUGCCGCGAGUUAUAAUAAAUAGUAUAUUAUCAUUUACAUCGUGUAUACAUACAUUAUUAUAUAAUGUUACAAUUUCUUACUUAUUUAUUUAUUAUUUAUUUAUUUAUUAAUUUAGUUUAUAGCGUAAAUAUCCAUUAUUUUGUACUUGACUUAUAUAUGUGUAUAUUUGAACAUUUGCAUAACAAUGUUUGUUUAUUUAAUGUGCUUGCAUUUGAAUGCAAUGUUUGAUUAGAUGUGUUGUGAUGAUGAUAUGCUUUGUUUGCGUGGAAUUGAGACGAAGUGGGUCACCAUUGGAUUUUUGAGGGCGGUCUACGAUACCGUCAGCCAUAUAUGGGGAGAUCGGCGCAUCCGUGUAAAUCUGAUGAUAUGGAUUAUAUGAAAAACCACAGGGUGAUCUCUUGUUGGUAUAGAAAGAAAAGAGAGUAAAAAAAAAAAAUUAGUGAGCUGGUCAAGUGAGAAUUAAACCAAUCGGCCAUGUAUGGGGAUCAGUCAUGUAUAAGGAUGAGACCAGUCGGCCAUGUGUUAGUGGUUGAGAAUAAAUUACAUGUUCUGUUCAGUUGGUUCUAACUCAUAAUGCAUAAAUUGGAAAAGUUUCUAUAGGUGUUAGAAGUUGAAGAAUCUCACGUUGCAUAUAGAUGACGUGCUACAUUUUCUCUUCGCAGUACUGGAAUACAUUGAUUUUUUUUUUUUUUUUUUUUUUAAUCAUGAGUUCAUUAUAGCUUUUAUUCUUCAUUGUUCCGACACUGACAUGAGCUGAUUUUAUACAUAUCAAAUCUUGGCUGCAAAUAAUGCAAUUAUUUCUUCAGGUCCGCUAAAACCGGGACUGCUUAGGCCAGAACUCGAGAUUGUCAUAAUCGUCUCAAAUCCAAUCCCUGCUGGUAAGUAUAAAACUUUCAUGGAUUAUUUUCGAUGUUUUUGGUUUCUACAAUCUACAACUGUAAUUUUAUAGAGACUGCUAUUAGUUAAGCUUGCAAAGUUUGGUGAGAUACUCCAAAUUUUCUAUUGAUGUUUUAUUUUCAGAUGUUAUUCAUCCAUGUAUUGUCACUUAGCAUUUCUAAUCCUAGGAGGGUCUGUCCUUCAUACAAAACAUCUAGUCAAGAAUUAAAUGAUCUCAAAUAAUUUCCUAUUCAUGCAAAUCGACAGCUCGUCCGCACCGAGAUGCAAAUGACUUACAUUUGCAAGUGGAGUUGAGAUUUUAUAAGUAAUUAUUUGGCAAUGUGGCUUUAUGGAGCAAAAUUUGAUUUUGAAUGAAAAAAUUACAUCGAAAGAAUCUAUAUGUGUCAAAACCUAAUAAUAAUUUAUUUUCUUUUUCUUUUGCAUUGAGCAGGGGGAAUUUGAACCAGGAUUUAUAGUUAGAUUAUAUAUGCAUUUACCAUCACUCUAUUACGGCUUGUUGCGCAUAAAUCUAAUAAAAUUAAGCUAAUAAUUUGGCUAUUAUUUAUAACAAAUGAACACAAUAAAAUUCUAAUAAAAAGAAUAAAAUUGAUGUACAUAGAUUAUGAAAUUUUUGGAAGAGGCUUGCGAAGAAGAAAGUGGUGAAUAAGUGAAAGCUCACUUGCAGGCUGAAAGGCAGGCACUUCAUGUCCAGCCCCUCUCACUGUAACAAAAGUAAAGUCUCCUUUAUAAAUUUCUGUAUACCCACUAACCUGAAACACAAACAUUCAGUUUUAAUAGGAAAAUUUAACUUUGGCGAGUGAGUUGUUACUUCCAUUAAGCUUGGAUUUGUAAAGGUUGUCAAGAAUUUCACUUUGCCUGUUGCUAAUGCUAUGGCUCUGGGAUGUUAAAUAAGAAAAAAUGAAAAAGAAAAGAAAUAGGUUUUUCCCCAUUGCACGAAAAGGUUUUAGGGUUUUUGAUUUUUGUUUCUUGAAUCCAAAUUAUGUGUUUAUAUUAUGUAGACAGGUGUUAUGAGAGAGAAUAUAAUAUAUUUAAUUUUCACAAUUUUGGGGAAUCACUCCUUUUGUGGCCUCAUCAAGGGCCCUUCUUAAAAAUGGUCCCAGCUGUAUUUUUGUCGGUAAAGGAUGAUUUUAAUAUAAUGCUUUGUUGAUAAAGAAGACUUUAGUCCAUUCAUUAAGUGAUAUGCUCUACCCACUUUAGUUAGUGCUUGUCUACUCCAAAAUGUGAACCCCGUAAUGCCCCGUUUGUUGUUUUUCUAUUUUUCAAUUUUGAAAGAAAUACCUAUCGUUUAAAUUUAUUAUUUUUGUUAUUUCAUAUUUUUAAAACAAAAAAAAGAAUUGAGUGUCGAAAUUUAAAAGAAAAUUCACAAAAUUCAUUCUUUGUUUUUUAAUUCAAUUUCUGAAAAAUAAAUUUUAAUUUAGAAAAAUGGAAAUUGAAAACUAACAAGAUAAAAAUUAGAAACUAAAAUUAGGGUAAACACCACUUAAGGAUUCUUUGUUCCAACGGUAGGUUGGCAUCUAAUACCAAAAAGAUAAGGAAACUACUCAAGCAGUUGAUCAUUUUUUUAAUACAUCAAAAAAUCAUUAAAGGUUAUUACACAUCAAUAGGACAAUAAUAAUAAAAUAAAAAGCAAUGGUGCCAAAGAAAUUCGAGGCUUUAUAGGCACUCUUUGUUUUUUUUUUUUUACGUAAUAAUGGUAUUCUUUUCUUGAAGCUCAAGCGGGUCUUUUCAAUGGAGUAGGUGGGGACCUUAGGAAGGAACCAAUUUCUCUUCAUUCACUGAAAAUAGUCAUAAACACUAGAAAUGCCUGUUUAGCUUUUCAGUUUCAAUCACCUGCCAAUUUUGUGUUUGGUAUUACAACUUCCUUCGAGUCUUUGAUACUGCAACUCCACUUUCAAUAACCGAUCAAUUCUUCAAUUGGUCGAAUUUUCUGCUGAAAAUUUUGAUCAUCCUCUCUUUGUGAUGGAAAUUGCAUCUGCUAUUGGAGGUGCUCUUCUAGCACCUGCCUUUGAGUCUUUGUUUAAUAAGUUGGCUUCCAAGGACUUGCUCAAUUAUGCCCGUGAAGGACAUGUGCUGACUGAAAUCAACAAGUGGAAGGAGAUGUUGGAGAGCAUCUGUGGCGUUCUUGAGGAUGCAGAGGAGAAGCAGACGGUGAGCAAGCCGGUGAAGAUGUGGGUAAGACAGUUGAGGAACCUGGCGUAUGAUUUGGAGGACAUUCUUGAUGAGUUUGAUUUUGAGGCUCGUCGAUCCAAGUUGAAAGCUGAACCUGUGGCUGGUUCAAGUAAGGUGCGAAAGCUCUUCCAUAAUAUUCGUGCGGUCAAAUUCAAUAAAGAGAUGAUUUCCAAGAUAAAGGGAAUUAGUUCCCGACUAGAAGAUAUCACCUCACGAAGAAAUCAACUAGAUUUGAAAGAAAGGCCCGGUAGAAAGAGUGAAAGGAUUCCUGCGACGUGCUUGGUGAAUCAAGCCGAGAUUUAUGGGAGGGAGAAAGAUAAGAAGGCGAUUCUUGAACUUUUGAAUUCUGAAUCAAGUGAUAGAAGGGUUGCUCUGAUUUCUAUAGUUGGACUGGGAGGUGUUGGUAAGACAACUCUAGCGCAGCUUAUCUUUAAUGAAGCUGGAGAGAAGUUUGAUUUGACGGCUUGGGUUUCUGUCGGUGAAGAUUUUGACGUGGUUAGACUUACAAAAACAGUUCUUCAGUCGGUCGGUGGAGAUCUUACUUCCAACGAUUUGAAUUCGCAUCAAUUAGACCUGAAGGCAAGGCUGUCAGAGAAGAAGUUUUUUAUGGUUCUAGAUGAUGUUUGGAACGAGAAUUAUGACCAUUGGACAAUCUUUCUUCGCCCCUUUGAGAAUGGGGCAAAAGAAAGUAGAAUUAUCGUCACAACUCGCAAUCUUGCCGUUUCACAGACGAUGGGUGCUAUUCAAAGUUAUACACUUGGAGUGUUGGAGAAUGAUGAUUGCCUGUCUGUGUUUGCCCAUCAUGCUCUUGGAGUAACAAAUUUUGAGGAGCACUUGGAUCUAGAAGCAAUAGGUAAGAAGAUUGUGGAAAGGUGUCAAGGCUUACCUUUGGCAGCUAAAGCUAUUGGAGGUCUCUUACGAGGUCAACCAACUCGCGAUGCAUGGGAACAAGUGCUAAACAGCGGCAUUUGGGAGGAGAAAGGCGACAUUCUUCCAGCAUUAAAGUUGAGCUAUCACCAUCUUCCACCUCAUCUGAAACGAUGUUUUGUUUAUUGUGCAAUUUUUCCACAAGAUUACAAAUUCGAUGAGGAUGAGUUGGUUCUACAGUGGAUGGCUGAGGGAUUUGUACAGCACGCACAGGAAAUGAAGCAAAUGAAACGCUCGGGUCAUCUAUAUUUCCAUGAUUUAUUAUGGAGAUCCUUUUUUCAACAAUCUACUGGCAAUAAAUCACGAUAUGUGAUGCAUGACCUACUCAAUGAUCUAGCUAAAUCUGUAAGUGGAGAAAUAUGCCUUCAUUUGGACGAUGAUAAGUUGAAGGGCAUAAAAUCACAUGCAAACGUUCGCCAUUCAGCGUUCGCUUGUCAUCGCUAUGACAGGUAACAAAGAUUUGAAGUCUUUUAUGAGAUGAGUAAUCUGCGAACAUUCUUAGCAUUAUCCCCUAAUCAAUGGGGACAUAAUUUUUUAUCUAUUAGAGUGGUGCAUGACAUAGUGCCCAAACUGAAACGUUUAAGGGUGCUAUCACUAGCUCCAUACGAGUUUGAAGAGUUGCCAAGUUCAAUUGGGGCCUUAAGGCAUUUACGAUAUCUGAACUUGUCUUACAACGCCGGGAUUAAAAGAUUACCUAAUUCACUGAUAAAUCUUCAAAACUUGCAGACACUGAAGUUAUGUGCUUGUCGGAAUCUUAUUGAGUUGCCCACAGGCAUUGGCGCUUUAAUCAAUUUGAUGCACCUCGAUCUUAAAGGUACGGAUGCUUUGCAGGAGAUGCCAUUGGGGGUAGCUAAAUUGAUAAAUCUUCAAAUAUUGUCUAAGUUUAUGGUGGGAAAAGGAAGUAAUUGCCUUGGACUUAGAGAGGUAAUGAACCUCCCUCAUCUAGAAGGACAACUUCGUAUUGAAGAGCUACAGAACGUGGCAAGGAUCGAAGAUGCAAAUCUCGUUGAUUUAAAGAAGAUUGAGAAUCUUGGUGAUUUGGCCUUGGUAUGGACCCGCGUGAUUCACCACGCGAAGAGGAUCAUGAAUUCCAGGUUCUCAACUUGCUAGAACCUCAUCAAAAGUUGGAAAGCCUUUCGGUUCAAUUUUAUGGCGGUAAGCAAUUUCCUUUGUGGAUAGGAGAUCCUGCAUUCACAAAUAUGGUGGAUCUAGAGCUUUGGGAUUGUCAGAAUAUUACCUCGCUGCCACCGCUAGGUAGACUAUGUAAACUGAAAAGGCUGUGCAUCAAAGGCAUGGAUGAACUGCAAGAAGUAGGGCUUGAGCUUUCCCCGUCCCUUCAGAUUCUACAAAUUGAGGAUAUGUUGAAGUUGAAGCAAUGGGCUCACUCUGAUGACGUCAAUGUAGAGGUUACAAGAAAAUUUCCCAGACUACGUCGCAUUUGGAUAGGCAAAUGUCCUAAAUUGGUUGUGACAUUGCCUACCUCCCUUCCUUCCCUUGAGGUAUUGGACAUUCGUGGAUGUAAAGAUAUUAUUCUCGAAAGUGUGCACGAUCUAUGUUACCUUCAAACCUUGUCCAUUUCGAGUAUUUCAGCGCUUCAAAAUUUACAUCAAGUGGUUACGCAGUCCUUGGUGGCGCUAGAACAUCUGUCCAUUGAUAAUUGCCGCCAAUUGAUACACCUGUGGCAGGGUUCAACUGAUUUAGACAAACUUUCUAGGUUGAAAUCUCUAAGGAUCCAAGGUUGUGAGAAGCUAAUGUCUUUGAUAAGAGGAGAAGAAGGGAAUUUGCCUUGCAAUCUUGAAAUUUUGGAGAUAAUGUGCUGCAAUGG